This 1328-nucleotide unclassified non-coding RNA is filed under the name Hevea brasiliensis (rubber tree). The record is from RNAcentral. Lineage: Eukaryota; Viridiplantae; Streptophyta; Magnoliopsida; Malpighiales; Euphorbiaceae.
GUGAAAAAUCACAAACUAUCCAUGAGAAAUCAUCCUUAUUUAUUGAAUUUAAAUUAUCCAGUUAAAAUUUAUUAUUAAUCAUUAUUAAAUUUUAAAAGGUGGUGAUUCCAUAAAUAAUUAAAUCCCAUUGUUCAGUUUAAAUUUUUAGAUUGAAAUUCAAAUUCAAUAAAGAAAAACCAAUUUAAUAUUUCCAUAAAGAAAACAAAUAACGAGAGAAAAAAUAAAUAUUCAACCCAGAACAAGAAAAAUUCAAAACAAUGCAAAUUAAAUUACAAUUUGAUCUGCCAGAUUCACACUUACAUAAAAGACUAUCACAACUUUUCAUUUUCUCGCUUAGAACUUUGUUUGCAGGUGAUUAACGACCUUAGUAUCCAUCUGGAAAGCCUUUGCAAGAAUGUCACUGGGGAUAGACGGUGUAGAACCAAACACUGCAUUGGCAAUGGUAAUGACCCCAGGAUUUUGGCUGCUCAGAGCUACAAUAGCAACAGCAUUGUCAGUCCCUACAUUUCUCUGGAAGUGAAUGAGAUUGACAGGGAAGACGAAUACUUCACCCUUAUGUAAAACCUUUUGGAUGAGACGGUUUUCAGGGUUAGAUGUGAUGAAUCCAACUUCAAGACUGCCUUCCACUACUGUCAAGAUUUCAGAGGCACGGGGGUGUGUGUGGGGAGGGUUAAUACCGCAUGGUGCAUAGUCGAUACGAGCAAGAGAGAUGCCAAGAGUGUUAAGUCCUGGUAUUUGGGCUACAUUGACUGGUGUAACCUUAGACCCUACUGCAUUUGAAGUAUCUCCUGGCAAGUGAAGUCCAGUGAAAAAGAAAUCAUUGGCUUCAACCAUCUUGGGAUCCUUGCAAGCAACACCAUUCACUAGAACUGUAGCAUUUGCAUCAGCCACACAGAAAUCUUGAAGUGGCAUUGGAUCAGAAGCCAGAGCAAAGGAGGAAAGAGCUAGAAAUAGCCCUAAGAAAAGAAAGAAAUUACAAGCCAUUUCAAAAUCUUUUAUGCAUCUCAAGACUAAUAUUUGAGAACUUGAUUGAAGUUUGAGCUGUGGGGAGAAAACAUUCAGAUGUUGGCUUCUAUAUAUGUAUAGGAUGUAAAGGUUAAUAUACUUAAAGAGAAAUCUGAUAAGGAUAUAAUAUGCCGUUCUAUAGGAUAAUUGCUCUUCAAAAGCAAGUUAGGACUGGGUUGCUGCAGCUGCUAGCUGCAAUUUGCUUACUUUAGCAUGUAAAAUAUGUCCCAUGAAAUAUCAUGCCGUGCCGGCACUAAAAUUGUUUAACAUUUGUGUCCUAGCUAUAUUUAGCCUAGAAGAAGCUCAAGUGCAUGAAGAUGUGG